RNAcentral lists this small nuclear RNA (290 nucleotides) under Chinchilla lanigera (long-tailed chinchilla). RNAcentral describes it as "7SK RNA (ENSCLAG00000021950.1)". It matches the Rfam family "7SK RNA". Rfam says of the family: 7SK was discovered as an abundant small nuclear RNA in the mid-70s but a possible function has only recently been suggested. The record is from Rfam by way of RNAcentral. Lineage: Eukaryota; Metazoa; Chordata; Mammalia; Rodentia; Chinchillidae.
GGAUGCUAGGGCGAUCUAGCUGUGACAUCUGUCACCCCACUGAUCGCCAGGGUUGAUUCAGCUGGUCUGACUGGCUAGGCGGGUGUUCCCUUCCUCCCUCAAUGCUCCCUGUCCGUCCUUCCCGAAGCUGCUCCCUCGGUCGAAGAGGACGACCACCCCGAUAGAGGAAGACUGUCCUCAGUCAAGGGUAUAGGAGUAGCUGCACUUCCCUGCUAGAACCUCCAAACAAGCUCUCAAGGUCCAAACUAAUGUUGUCUUUAAUCUACCAGAUUUGUACUCUCCUUGUUCAA